RNA transcript from Phoenix dactylifera (date palm), 2825 nucleotides. It is a transcript of the gene named rop guanine nucleotide exchange factor 1-like, with no coding region annotated. The record is from RefSeq and is a predicted model, not a curated record. Lineage: Eukaryota; Viridiplantae; Streptophyta; Magnoliopsida; Arecales; Arecaceae.
GGCGGCUUCUCUUUUGCUUUUCCAGCAGAAAGAGAAACUUAGGGAGGGAGAGGGGUGGAGACUUUUAGAGAGAGAGAGAGAGAGAGAGAGAUUAGACCUGUUGGUUGGCGCCUUCUACGUCUCGUACUUUCACUACUUUCUCUCUCCAGCUCUUCUCCAAUUGCCUCAUUUGCCCGAGCUUGGACCAGAUGCGAUCCGGGCCGUCCAUGGAGGAAACGAGCGGGGAGGAUCACUGAUCUGCUGCACGCCGUCGGGGAGCUGGAUCGGGUUGCUAGAGUUAGGGUUUUUGGCUGGGAAAUGGGGAGCAUGUCGUCGGACGGGGCGUCGGAGGACCGGUGCGGGAGCUACAGCCCGAGCGCUGAUGUGAGUGAGUCGGAAAGCUCGAGCGAUUUCUCCGGGCGGAGGUACGGCGGCGGAGGCGGCGGCGGUGGCGCAUCCUCUUCCGCCGCGGGGGCAUCCUGCUCGUUUGCGUCGUCGCCGCUGGCCGCGGCGGCCACGGAGGCGGCCCGGGCGCUGCUGCCUCGGGGAGAUGUGGUGUUCUGGGACGCGAAGCUGGAGAAGCGGGAGACGGAUUUUUCUGAGGUGGACAUGAUGAAGGAGCGAUUCGCGAAGCUACUGCUCGGCGAAGACAUGUCCGGCGGCGGAAAAGGGGUUUGCACGGCGCUCGCGAUCUCAAAUGCCAUCACAAAUCUCUCUGCUACUGUAUUUGGGGAGCUAUGGAGGCUGGAGCCGCUGGCAGCACAGAAGAAGGCAAUGUGGCGCCGGGAGAUGGAAUGGAUUUUAUGCGUGAGUGAUCACAUAGUGGAGCUUAUCCCUUCCCUCCAAGAAUUUCCUGGCGGUGGGACCUUCGAGGUGAUGGUCCCCCGACCCCGCAGCGAUCUCUACAUGAACCUCCCAGCGCUCAAGAAGCUUGAUGCUAUGCUCCUUGGGAUGCUGGAUGGGUUCCGGGAAACCGAGUUCUGGUAUGUCGAUCGGGGGAUCCUGGUUGCCGAUGCUGAUGAGGAGGGAAGUGGGGCAUACCCUUCUUCUUCCUUUGGAAGGCCAUCUUUAAGGCAGGAGGAGAAAUGGUGGCUCCCGUGCCCGCGAGUUCCACCAAAUGGUCUGUCUGAGAAUGCAAGGAAGAAGUUACAACAGUGUAGGGAUUGUGCAAAUCAGAUACUCAAGGCCGCCAUGGCGAUCAACAGCACGGUGCUUUCCGAGAUGGAAAUCCCUGAUGUCUACUUGGAGACAUCGCCAAAGCAUGGAAAAUCUUGUUUAGGUGAGAUCAUCUACCGCUAUAUAACAGCUGAUCAAUUUUCACCGGAAUGUCUCCUGGAUUGCCUGGACCUGUCAUCCGAGCAUCAUACACUGGAAAUAGCCAAUAGGAUUGAGGCAGCCAUGCAUGUGUGGAGGUUAAAAGGCCAAAAAGGAAAUCCUCAAUCAAGGGCAAAGAAGUCAUUAUGGGGUGGACGGGUCAAGAGUCUUGUGGGUGAUACAGAAAGAAGUCAAUUUCUGGCACAACGGGCUGAGUGUCUCUUGCAGAGCUUGAGAAUACGGUACCCUGGUCUCCCGCAAACUGUUCUGGAUAUGAACAAGAUUCAGUACAAUAAGGAUGUGGGGCAGUCAAUCCUUGAGAGUUACUCCAGGGUCAUGGAGAGUUUGGCAUUUAACAUAAUGGCAAGGAUUGAUGAUCUCAUUUUUGUGGAUGAUGCAACAAAGAGGUGUGCAGCUGCAGAAUCUGUUUCCAUAUUUAACCGAGGGCUUGGAGGACUACCUAUUCAAAAAAGGAUCUCGCCUAGCCCCUUCUCUGUCUCUACCCAGAACACCCCCUAUGCCUCACCAUUCGCCACGCCCACAUUUUGUUCUUCCACUCCAGUGAUUGGAAGCCCUGGAAGAGCUCAUCCUUCUUUAAGUAAGAGCAGCCUCCAAGGACAGCAUGAUGAGAAAGCAGGAAAAUUCAUAUCUGGUGAGGUGGAGAGGCUGUGGUCAUAUACUGGUAAUGUGAGUGCCAGGAGAGAUGCAGGACAUGCCCCUGAACGGGACUGACUUGUGAACAAACAAAUCGAGUAGAAUGCAGUUAGCAAAGAGAUGGAUCGGUGCAAAACUCAUCAACGGAAAGCAUUUGAGGAAGAGAUUUUAACUGGCGCUAUCACUUGGCGAUUUCUUCAAUCUGCAGUUGCUGCUGCAAUGUUUGAUUACAUAUCCGAAUGAGAUAAUUAUCAGCUGGUCAUUAAAGUGUUCAUCAGCAAAUCUGAAAGAUGUCGAGAAAAAAAAAAUCCAGAAUACGCGCUGCGACAUAAAUCAGCAAAAAUAGAAGUAGUCCUAAGAGAGGAAGGGAGUGAUUAUCCUCAAAUAAUAGAUUGUCGCUGCGACCAACAUAAGCCAGCCAAUCAACUGUUUGGUUACCCUCUCCAAAAGUUGUGGGAGGUUGUGAAGUAGAUGCAUAUUAUCCUGCAACUCCAAAUGUCAUGACGAAGAUGAUGGCUUUUAGAGAGACCUGUGCUUCUAUUCAUCCGGCUUAACAGCAACCAGAUUUCUAACUAGAUUUGAUUAUAUUUGAGUACCUUAAUAGCAACUUUCCCAAGCACAUCAAGAUUUGGCUUCUGGCACUGAGCAAGGAAGAAGUUUUGUAGCACCUGCACCUACCAUACUCAACAACUCAUCCCUCAAUAAAAAGCCUGUAGCAGAUGUGCUUCCAAUCGUCGAAACUUUCCAAAUUGUUUUAAAUUGAUCAUGAGUGCUGGUCCAGUUCCUUCACAGAUUGUAGUCAAAUCCUUCAAUAGUUGCAUCAGAAAACUCCAUUGCAACACGAAGUGGAGUAGAUUGGGAAGUACAAAAAAGCAAAA